Molecule: long non-coding RNA, 711 nt
Filed under: Marmota monax (woodchuck)
Lineage: Eukaryota; Metazoa; Chordata; Mammalia; Rodentia; Sciuridae
Source: RNAcentral
ACUUCUUAAUAUUGAAAAUCUCAACACCAGUCCAGACAUUAAUGAAGGCAAAACUGCCAAACACUAAGGUCUUACAGACUUAUUUCAUUUUUCCCUAUGCCAGAUCCAAAUUAUGUACAAAAAGCUCAUAUCUGAAUUUAUAAAGUACAGCAAAUCAAUAGGAUAAAAGACAUACUCCAAUAGAAAAAUAAACAAAUGACUUGAAUAUCUAUAUUUUUAAAAAUAAUAACCAAUUGGCCAACAAAAUUAUAAACAAUCAUUAGUAAUUAGAAAAAUGCAAAUUCAGACAUACUAUUUUAUUCCAACCAGAAAAGAUUUAAUAAAUUAAGAGUGUCAAUAUGAUUAAAUUUUGGUGAAGAUGUUUAGCUACUGGAAUGCUUAUUACUAGGAGUAAACUGUUAUGAUUACUUUGGUAAUAUCUGACAUACUUAAUCAUACUCCAUGAGCUAAUAUACCUCACAUUUAAAGACAUGUAAGAGAAUAUAUAACAGCAUUAUCAUAAUUGCCAAAAAUUUACAUGUCCAUUAGAAAUAAAAUGGAUGAAUAUAUUGCAGUAAAUUUAUACAACUGAAUACAACAAUGGAAAUGAAUGAACAAUUGCUACAUUCAACAGUGGGGAUGAAUUUUACAAACAUAAUGUUAACCAAAGGAAGCAGACAAAAUAUUGCAUUACUCUGUUUAUGUAAAUUUCAAAAAGCAAAUGAAUCUGUG